GCAAAAGAAAAAUCAUUCAAUUUGGGGAUUGCUGGUUUAGGUCUAAUCAUCUAAAAUUCUCUAAAAAAAUUAACAGAAGAUCUCAACUGAGUACGCACUCAAUCAGCCACUUAUAUAGUAUAUAUAUUAAUAUAUAUUCUAUCCAUUUUAAUCUAGAAGCAAAGAAAAAAGAAAGAAGAAGAAUCAAUGAGAAAUCAAAUGUACCUAUAUAUUCUAUCCAUUUUAAUCUAGAAGCAAAGAAAAAAGAAAGAAGAAGAAUCAAUGAGAAAUCAAAUGUACCUAUAGCCUGUACGCACAGGCACAGAGA
This 307-nucleotide long non-coding RNA is filed under the name Sorghum bicolor (sorghum). RNAcentral's name for it is "long non-coding RNA (SBIC_LNC009328)". The record is from RNAcentral. Lineage: Eukaryota; Viridiplantae; Streptophyta; Magnoliopsida; Poales; Poaceae.